Molecule: ribosomal RNA, 1233 nt
Filed under: Argemone-Cactus male plant phytoplasma
Lineage: Bacteria; Bacillati; Mycoplasmatota; Mollicutes; Acholeplasmatales; Acholeplasmataceae
Description: bacterial SSU rRNA
Rfam family: Bacterial small subunit ribosomal RNA
Source: RNAcentral
CAAUCUGCCCCUAAGACGAGGAUAACAGUUGGAAACGACUGCUAAGACUGGAUAGGAGACAAGAGGGCAUCUUCUUGUUUUUAAAAGACCUAGCAAUAGGUAUGCUUAGGGAGGAGCUUGCGUCACAUUAGUUAGUUGGUGGGGUAAAGGCCUACCAAGACUAUGAUGUGUAGCCGGGCUGAGAGGUUGAACGGCCACAUUGGGACUGAGACACGGCCCAAACUCCUACGGGAGGCAGCAGUAGGGAAUUUUCGGCAAUGGAGGAAACUCUGACCGAGCAACGCCGCGUGAACGAUGAAGUAUUUCGGUACGUAAAGUUCUUUUAUUAGGGAAGAAUAAAUGAUGGAAAAAUCAUUCUGACGGUACCUAAUGAAUAAGCCCCGGCUAACUAUGUGCCAGCAGCCGCGGUAAUACAUAGGGGGCAAGCGUUAUCCGGAAUUAUUGGGCGUAAAGGGUGCGUAGGCGGUUAAAUAAGUUUAUGGUCUAAGUGCAAUGCUCAACAUUGUGAUGCUAUAAAAACUGUUUAGCUAGAGUAAGAUAGAGGCAAGUGGAAUUCCAUGUGUAGUGGUAAAAUGCGUAAAUAUAUGGAGGAACACCAGUAGCGAAGGCGGCUUGCUGGGUCUUUACUGACGCUGAGGCACGAAAGCGUGGGGAGCAAACAGGAUUAGAUACCCUGGUAGUCCACGCCGUAAACGAUGAGUACUAAACGUUGGGUAAAACCAGUGUUGAAGUUAACACAUUAAGUACUCCGCCUGAGUAGUACGUACGCAAGUAUGAAACUUAAAGGAAUUGACGGGACUCCGCACAAGCGGUGGAUCAUGUUGUUUAAUUCGAAGGUACCCGAAAAACCUCACCAGGUCUUGACAUGCUUCUGCAAAGCUGUAGAAACACAGUGGAGGUUAUCAGUUGCACAGGUGGUGCAUGGUUGUCGUCAGCUCGUGUCGUGAGAUGUUGGGUUAAGUCCCGCAACGAGCGCAACCCUUAUUGUUAGUUACCAGCACGUAAUGGUGGGGACUUUAGCAAGACUGCCAGUGAUAAAUUGGAGGAAGGUGGGGACGACGUCAAAUCAUCAUGCCCCUUAUGACCUGGGCUACAAACGUGAUACAAUGGCUGUUACAAAGGGUAGCUGAAGCGCAAGUUUUUGGCGAAUCUCAAAAAAACAGUCUCAGUUCGGAUUGAAGUCUGCAACUCGACUUCAUGAAGUUGGAAUCGCUAGUAAUCGCGAAUCAGCAU